RNAcentral lists this long non-coding RNA (1595 nucleotides) under Triticum aestivum (bread wheat). RNAcentral describes it as "long non-coding RNA (TAES_LNC003939)". The record is from RNAcentral. Lineage: Eukaryota; Viridiplantae; Streptophyta; Magnoliopsida; Poales; Poaceae.
AACAAAAAGAAUUUUAGUCAAACUCGAUUAUCUCUUUGAAUCUUUAGAUACAGAGUAUGUCAAGAUAAGUAGUGUAAAAAUGAUGCAUCAGAAGCAAAACUAAUUUAAUAGUGUAUACACCAUUCAAAUUUACAAACCCCUCUAAAUUAUCGCUUGCCAUGCCAUUGCACCAUAAUAUGAGAGGGGAGUAUUCAAAGGCAUCUAGCUAACAACAAUAAUAAAUACAAUAGAAAAUCAUCGUUAUUACAAUAGAAAUGAGCCUUUUCUUUAGGUAAGGUUUUCCCAGACAUGCCGAACAAAUUGAGCUUCCAACACUUUGACUGACAGCACCUGUGACACAUUGUGAGUGAAAAACAUCAUCAAUCUGAAAGAAUUUGAACUAAGUAGAACUAUUGGUGGACAAGGGGACGUAGAGGAUAUCCUAGAAGCAGAAAGAUGGUAAGAUUGCUGCAGUAACACGUAGAAGGAAAUUAGACUAUGCCAUGGGAAAGAAUAUAUGUAGGAGCAUGAACUGAAGGAGGGAAGGAGGCAGGGAGAUUGUAGUAACGGAUCUCCACUAUGAGCCGCCAGACAGUGCACCUUGAUUGCGAUUAAUGGAUCCUAGCAAUGGCAACUUAAUUCAUCGCUUCAAAGUGGUGCUCACUCCGACCGGGGAGGAUCCAAUCAUACCUUUGAUGGAACUGCACAACCACAUCGCCCGUGUCGCCUCGUCUUGCCCGGGCAUCUUGCUCUCGCAAGAGUGAUCGCCCGCCUCACCCUGCUGAAUACCCUCGAGCACUUCGGUUGGAACAACUCAAAUUUAGAACAUCACAUUCUUAGAAAACAUCUACAAUGAUCUAACAUUGCUGGCUAAAUCUAACUGGAUAGUUCUAACACUAAAUUCUGUACUUCAAAAAUGCAUUGAAAUCUCAUGAACAAAUAGUUCAACAAAUAAAUUCUUAAAAUAGCAUACGAUCUCUUUGCAUCGAGCUGGAGAAUACAGGAGGCAAAAAGACAGGUGGGCACAGACCACAGAAGGAGCACAACAUAGAGAAGGAGAGGAAGAUGUCAAAUUGCCUCACCGCUUGGUUCCAUGGAGGUUCAUUGCCGACCUCGAUGGUCUCUGAUUUGGGUUGUGACAGUAUGCACGGGGGCUUUGGCUUCGGGCUGUGAGAGAUGAAGCCAGCGCCUCGCCCAGCCCUCCUCUAACACCGAUCGCCCGCGUCACCCGCAUCACUCGGAUGGAUCUCCUCGAGCGUGUCGGCUGAAUCCGAUUAGAAGACCUGUCGCUCGCGUCACCCUUGUUGGCUGGAUCCCCUCGCAGAUCGCCCGUGUCGCCCCACAUCAAGCGCGGCUGGAUCCCCUCCAGCAGCAUUGGCGUGGAGAAAGGGCAGCAAACUGGCGGCGGGGAUGGAGAUGGCCAGCGGGGCGGCGGCUUGAGUUCCCAUCGGGCGGCGCCCUGAGUGGUCCUUCUGGUGGGCUGGAUCUGGAUGGAGUGGGUGGGAGUUGACCUGCAGGCUCAUAGGGAUGGCGGCGUGGACUUGAGCAGCAGUCGUGAGUUACACCGGCGGCAGAGAGGCGACAGAACCAGGCUGAGGCGACCGAACCGUCAUGAC